Non-coding RNA from Salmo salar (Atlantic salmon), 512 nucleotides. The record is from RefSeq and is a predicted model, not a curated record. Lineage: Eukaryota; Metazoa; Chordata; Actinopteri; Salmoniformes; Salmonidae.
GUUCGCAAAUUUGCGGGGAAAGGUGGUUGUCUGCCAAUACGCCUGUUACUGUGAAAAUGCUCCGUUUGAUUUAUUUUCUCUCUCCACUCAACUUUUCUAAAGACUUAACAGGAGAAGAGAUCAAAAACAUGCAUAUUUGAGCGAGACAGAGACAGACAGAGAGAGCGAGAGAAACAUAGAGAGAGAGAGAUGGCUAGAGGAAGAUUGAGCAAGAUGGAAGGAAGAGAGACCAGGGAAAGUACAGGCAAGGACACCUACCUUUUGUCAUUGACCCCUGACCUGUGUGUCUGGGCAUUGACUGUCUCUUCUCCCCUCAUGUCACUGGAGCUCCCUGUCAAUACUUACCUGGUUUAGACACCAUCCCUCAGCGCUGUGGUCAGAGAGUGGGGGAGACCAGAUGCACUGGAGCACCAGGAGAGGAAGAGGAGGAAGGUGGAGGGAGAGAGGGGGAGGGAGAAACAUAGAGAUGGGGAGCAGUGAAAGGGAUCAAGAUCGAGCAUGUUUAAAAAAAA